RNAcentral lists this ribosomal RNA (462 nucleotides) under uncultured bacterium. RNAcentral's name for it is "partial 16S ribosomal RNA". It matches the Rfam family "Bacterial small subunit ribosomal RNA", at positions 338 to 795 of the family's 1533-position model. The record is from RNAcentral.
CCUACGGGAGGCAGCAGUGAGGAAUAUUGGUCAAUGGGCGCAAGUCUGAACCAGCCAAGUAGCGUGCAGGAUGACGGCCCUCCGGGUUGUAAACUGCUUUUAGUUGGGAAUAAAAGGGGGCUCGUGAGCCUCGUAUUGUAUGUACCAUCAGAAAAGGGACCGGCUAAUUCCGUGCGAGCAGCCGAGGUAACAGGGAGGGUCCGUGAGUUAUCCGGAUUUAGUGGGUUUAAAGGGAGCGUAGACGGGCUUUGAAGUCAGCUGUGAAAGUCCGCGGCUCAACCGUGGAAUUGCAGUUGAAACUGGGGGCCUUGAGUGCAGACAGGGAAGGCGGAAUUCAUGGUGUAGCGGUGAAAUGCUUAGAUAUCAUGAAGAACUCCGAUGGCGAAGGCAAGUGGCUGGAGUGCAACUGACGUUGAGGCUCGAAAGUGCGGGUAUCAAACAGGAUUAGAUACCCGAGUAGUC